Molecule: ribosomal RNA, 384 nt
Filed under: uncultured prokaryote
Description: partial 16S ribosomal RNA
Source: RNAcentral
CCCUAUGGGGCGCUUCGAGGGUAGGCUAGGCUUUUGCCUGGCCAGAGUUGACCCUGGCAUCGUGAAACUGUCCGGGCGGGCAACCGGACUUCAUUUUGCCCUUGAACCCUCCGGGUCCCCACCUCUACUCCCUUUCGCCGGAAUGAAUCCGGGGAAUCGAUCAAGAAAAGGUCAUGAAACGAGUGUUGUUGUUGGCAGCGGUUUUUGCCUUCGUGAUCCCGGCCGGGAGGGCCGAGGUCAAGCUGGCGGCGGUAUUUUCCAGUCACAUGGUUCUUCAGCGGGAGACGGAGGCGCCGGUCUGGGGAUGGGCGAGUCCCGGGGAAAAAGUCGAGGUGUCGGCCACCUGGGGCAAGAACGGCAAGUGUGUCGCCGAUGCGGGAGGGC